AGUGGCGAACGGGUGAGUAAUGUAUCGGAACGUACCUUUCAGUGGGGGAUAACGUAGCGAAAGUUACGCUAAUACCGCAUAUUCUGUGAGCAGGAAAGCAGGGGAUCGAAAGACCUUGCGCUGAUUGAGCGGCCGAUAUCAGAUUAGCUAGUUGGUGGGGUAAAGGCCUACCAAGGCGACGAUCUGUAGCGGGUCUGAGAGGAUGAUCCGCCACACUGGAACUGAGACACGGUCCAGACUCCUACGGGAGGCAGCAGUGGGGAAUUUUGGACAAUGGGGGCAACCCUGAUCCAGCCAUGCCGCGUGAGUGAAGAAGGCCUUCGGGUUGUAAAGCUCUUUCGGCCGGGAAGAAAUCGCAUAGGCUAAUACCCUGUGUGGAUGACGGUACCGGAAUAAGAAGCACCGGCUAACUACGUGCCAGCAGCCGCGGUAAUACGUAGGGUGCGAGCGUUAAUCGGAAUUACUGGGCGUAAAGCGUGCGCAGGCGGUUUCGUAAGACAGAGGUGAAAUCCCCGGGCUCAACCUGGGAACUGCCUUUGUGACUGCGAGGCUAGAGUACGGCAGAGGGGGGGGUGGAAUUCCACGUGUAGCAGUGAAAUGCGUAGAGAUGUGGAGGAACACGGAUGGCGAGGCAGCCCCCUGGGCCGAUACUGACGCUCAUGCACGAAAGCGUGG
Molecule: ribosomal RNA, 675 nt
Filed under: uncultured Dechloromonas sp.
Lineage: Bacteria; Pseudomonadati; Pseudomonadota; Betaproteobacteria; Rhodocyclales; Azonexaceae
Description: bacterial SSU rRNA
Rfam family: Bacterial small subunit ribosomal RNA
Source: RNAcentral